Molecule: ribosomal RNA, 253 nt
Filed under: uncultured bacterium
Lineage: Bacteria
Description: partial 16S ribosomal RNA
Rfam family: Bacterial small subunit ribosomal RNA
Source: RNAcentral
UACGAAGGGGGCUAGCGUUGCUCGGAAUCACUGGGCGUAAAGCGCACGUAGGCGGAUUGCUAAGUCAGGGGUGAAAUCCUGGAGCUCAACUCCAGAACUGCCUUUGAUACUGGCGAUCUUGAGUCCGGGAGAGGUGAGUGGAACUGCGAGUGUAGAGGUGAAAUUCGUAGAUAUCUGGAGGAAUACCGGUGGCGAAGGCGGCAUCCUGGACCAUUACUGACGCUGAGGCGCGAAAGCUAGGGGAGCAAACGGG